UACGUAGGGGGCGAGCGUUGCCCGGAUUCAUUGGGCGUAAAGAGCUCGUAGGCGGCUUGGCAAGUCGGGUGUGAAAACUCCAGGCUCAACCUGGAGACGCCACCCGAUACUGCCAUGGCUUGAGUCCGGUAGGGGACCACGGAAUUCCUGGUGUAGCGGUGAAAUGCGCAGAUAUCAGGAGGAACACCGGUGGCGAAGGCGGUGGUCUGGGCCGGCACUGACGCUGAGGAGCGAAAGCGUGGGGAGCGAACAGG
Molecule: ribosomal RNA, 254 nt
Filed under: uncultured bacterium
Lineage: Bacteria
Description: partial 16S ribosomal RNA
Rfam family: Bacterial small subunit ribosomal RNA
Source: RNAcentral